UCAGCAGCCGCGGUAAGACGUAGGGGGCGAGCGUUGUCCGGAUUUACUGGGCGUAAAGAGCGCGUAGGCGGCUCGUUAAGUGUGAAGUGAAAUCUCCAGGGCUCAACCCGGAAACUGCUUCGCAUACUGGCGAGCUUGAGGAAUGCAGAGGUAAGUAGAAUUCCUGGUGUAGCGGUGAAAUGCGUAGAUAUCAGGAGGAAUACCGACGGCGAAGGCAGCUUACUGGGCAUUAUCUGACGCUGAGGCGCGAAAGCGUGGGUAGCAAACAGGAUUAGAUACCCUGGUAGUCCACGCCCUAAACGAUGGAUACUAGACGUAAGAGGUAUCGACCCCUCUUGUGUCGCAGCUAACGCACUAAGUAUCCCGCCUGGGGAGUACGGCCGCAAGGUUGAAACUCAAAUAAAUUGACGG
Molecule: ribosomal RNA, 411 nt
Filed under: uncultured bacterium
Lineage: Bacteria
Description: bacterial SSU rRNA
Rfam family: Bacterial small subunit ribosomal RNA
Source: RNAcentral